AUUGAACGCUGGCGGCAUGCCUUACACAUGCAAGUCGAACGGCAGCACGGGCUUCUUCCUGGCCGCGCGUUGCGAACGGGCGAGUAAUUCACCCGAACGUGCCCUGCCUUUGGGGCUGGCACGACGACAGCCAGCUUAAUACCGCAUCCGACCAGAUGUUGAACGCCGGGGACCGAAAGGCCUCGCCCUAUUUGCUCUGCCGAUGUCGGAUUAGCUAGCUGGUUGGGUAAAGGCUUACCAAGGCGACGAUCCGUAGCUGGUCUGAGAGGCCGACCAGCCACACUGGAACUGAGACACGGCCCAGACUCCUACGGGAGGCAGCAGUAGGGAAUCUUGGACAAUGGGGGAAAGCCUGAUCCAGCAAUGCCGCGUGAGGGAAGAAGGUCUUCGGGUUGUAAACCGCUUUUGUUAGGGAAGAAAACCUGUGGGAUUAUACCUGGAGGGGAUGACGGUACCGAAAGAGAAAGCACCGGCUAACUACGUG
RNAcentral lists this ribosomal RNA (484 nucleotides) under uncultured bacterium. RNAcentral's name for it is "partial 16S ribosomal RNA". It matches the Rfam family "Bacterial small subunit ribosomal RNA", at positions 30 to 507 of the family's 1533-position model. The record is from RNAcentral.